RNAcentral lists this ribosomal RNA (470 nucleotides) under Alternaria alternata. RNAcentral's name for it is "eukaryotic LSU rRNA". The stretch from base 109 to 262 matches the Rfam family "5.8S ribosomal RNA". Lineage: Eukaryota; Fungi; Ascomycota; Dothideomycetes; Pleosporales; Pleosporaceae. The record is from RNAcentral.
CCCUUGUCUUUUGCGUACUUCUUGUUUCCUUGGUGGGUUCGCCCACCACUAGGACAAACAUAAACCUUUUGUAAUUGCAAUCAGCGUCAGUAACAAAUUAAUAAUUACAACUUUCAACAACGGAUCUCUUGGUUCUGGCAUCGAUGAAGAACGCAGCGAAAUGCGAUAAGUAGUGUGAAUUGCAGAAUUCAGUGAAUCAUCGAAUCUUUGAACGCACAUUGCGCCCUUUGGUAUUCCAAAGGGCAUGCCUGUUCGAGCGUCAUUUGUACCCUCAAGCUUUGCUUGGUGUUGGGCGUCUUGUCUCUAGCUUUGCUGGAGACUCGCCUUAAAGUAAUUGGCAGCCGGCCUACUGGUUUCGGAGCGCAGCACAAGUCGCACUCUCUAUCAGCAAAGGUCUAGCAUCCAUUAAGCCUUUUUUCAACUUUUGACCUCGGAUCAGGUAGGGAUACCCGCUGAACUUAAGCAUAUCA